RNAcentral lists this ribosomal RNA (761 nucleotides) under uncultured fungus. Its description in RNAcentral is "eukaryotic LSU rRNA". Lineage: Eukaryota; Fungi. The record is from RNAcentral.
UUGCUCUUCAACGAGGAAUGCCUAGUAAGCGCGUGUCAUCAGCACGCGUUGAUUACGUCCCUGCCCUUUGUACACACCGCCCGUCGCUACUACCGAUUGAAUGGCUCAGUGAGGNUUCGGACUGGCCCAGGGAGAGUUGGCAACGACCACCCCGGGCCGGAAAGUUGGUCAAACUCGGUCAUUUAGAGGAAGUAAAAGUCGUAACAAGGUUUCCGUAGGUGAACCUGCGGAAGGAUCAUUAUCGWGGGGCUUCGGCCCUAUCGAGAUAGAACCCUUGCCUUUUUUGAGUACCGUACCGUUUCCUCGGCAGGMUCGCCUGCCAAUGGGGACCCCAAACCAAACUCUUGUAUAUAAUCGUGCAGUUUAGUMUGAAAAAACAAACAAAAAUUAAAACUUUCAACAACGGAUCUCUUGGUUMUGGCAUCGAUGAAGAACGCAGCGAAAUGCGAUAAGUAGUGUGAAUUGCAGAAUUCAGUGAAUCAUCGAAUCUUUGAACGCACAUUGCGCCCUUUGGUAUUCCUUAGGGCAUGCCUGUUCGAGCGUCAUUUACACCUUCAAGNUCUGSUUGGUGUUGGGUGUCUGUCCCGCCCCMUGGGGCGCGGACUCGCCUCAAAUGAAUUGGCGGCCGGUACGUUGGYUUCGAGYGCAGCAGAAACGCGAACUCGAGGCUGGCGGGCCAGCUCCCAGAAGCUCUUUUAUAUGUUUGACCUCGGAUCAGGUAGGGAUACCCGCUGAACUUAAGCAUAUCAAUAAGCGGAGGA